AAUGGGCGCAAGCCUGAUCCAGCCAUGCCGCGUGAGUGAUGAAGGCCCUAGGGUCGUAAAGCUCUUUCGCCUGUGAAGAUAAUGACGGUAGCAGGUAAAGAAACCCCGGCUAACUCCGUGCCAGCAGCCGCGGUAAUACGGAGGGGGUUAGCGUUGUUCGGAAUUACUGGGCGUAAAGCGCGCGUAGGCGGAUUAGUCAGUCAGAGGUGAAAUCCCGGGGCUCAACCCCGGAACUGCCUUUAAUACUGCUAGUCUUGAGUUCGAGAGAGGUGAGUGGAAUUCCGAGUGUAGAGGUGAAAUUCGUAGAUAUUCGGAGGAACACCAGUGGCGAAGGCGGCUCACUGGCUCGAUACUGACGCUGAGGUGCGAAAGUGUGGGGAGCAAACAGGAUU
RNAcentral lists this ribosomal RNA (392 nucleotides) under uncultured Gammaproteobacteria bacterium. Its description in RNAcentral is "bacterial SSU rRNA". It matches the Rfam family "Bacterial small subunit ribosomal RNA", at positions 370 to 779 of the family's 1533-position model. Lineage: Bacteria; Pseudomonadati; Pseudomonadota; Gammaproteobacteria. The record is from RNAcentral.